RNAcentral lists this transfer RNA (91 nucleotides) under Obba rivulosa. It matches the Rfam family "tRNA". Rfam says of the family: Transfer RNA (tRNA) molecules are approximately 80 nucleotides in length. Their secondary structure includes four short double-helical elements and three loops (D, anti-codon, and T loops). Further hydrogen bonds mediate the characteristic L-shaped molecular structure. tRNAs have two regions of fundamental functional importance: the anti-codon, which is responsible for specific mRNA codon recognition, and the 3' end, to which the tRNAs corresponding amino acid is attached (by aminoacyl-tRNA synthetases). tRNAs cope with the degeneracy of the genetic code in two manners: having more than one tRNA (with a specific anti-codon) for a particular amino acid; and 'wobble' base-pairing, i.e. permitting non-standard base-pairing at the 3rd anti-codon position. The record is from Rfam by way of RNAcentral. Lineage: Eukaryota; Fungi; Basidiomycota; Agaricomycetes; Polyporales; Gelatoporiaceae.
GCUGAUAUGGCCGAGUGGUUAAGGCGAGUGAUUUGAAUGACUCAAUAUCACUUGGGCAUCGCCCGCAUAGGUUCGAACCCUAUUGUCAGCG